RNAcentral lists this ribosomal RNA (421 nucleotides) under uncultured bacterium. RNAcentral describes it as "bacterial SSU rRNA". It matches the Rfam family "Bacterial small subunit ribosomal RNA", at positions 355 to 774 of the family's 1533-position model. The record is from RNAcentral.
UAAGGAAUAUUGGACAAUGGACGCAAGUCUGAUCCAGCCAUGCCGCGUGAAGGAUGAAUGCCCUCUGGGUUGUAAACUUCUUUUAUAGGGGAAGAAAGAUACUUUUUUUAAGGUAGUUGACGGUACCCUAUGAAUAAGCACCGGCUAACUCCGUGCCAGCAGCCGCGGUAAUACGGAGGGUGCAAGCGUUAUCCGGAUUUACUGGGUUUAAAGGUGCGUAGGCGGGCAUGUAAGUCAGUGGUGAAAUACCGGAGCUUAACUUCGGAACUGCCAUUGAUACUAUAUGUCUUGAAUAUUGUGGAGGUAAGCGGAAUAUGUCAUGUAGCGGUGAAAUGCAUAGAUAUGACAUAGAACACCGAUUGCGGAGGCAGCUUGCUACGCAAAUAUUGACGCUGAGGCACGAAAGCGUGGGGAUCAAACA